Phyllopteryx taeniolatus (common seadragon) is the source of this 1174-nucleotide long non-coding RNA. RefSeq lists it as uncharacterized. The record is from RefSeq and is a predicted model, not a curated record. Lineage: Eukaryota; Metazoa; Chordata; Actinopteri; Syngnathiformes; Syngnathidae. The transcript has 2 exons.
CACUGUGUUGCAUGCUGCUUUGCUUGAAAUAAAUAGCGGACGAGGGCAGCAGUUCGUCUGACAUUCUAAAACUUGGUCCUUCGAGCCGGAUGACAACAUCUUCUCUUCGGUGGAUGAUCGACGACGACUGAAAACGGUGCACCGUCCGAGUCUCCAGGAGACCCGGAAGGUCCUCCUUUCCACGAGGCCAGUCCUCGGACAUCUUCCGCCGGGAGAACACAAACGUCAUCCUACGAAUUGCAUCUCAACCAACGGAGAGAUUGUCACAGACAAAUCACGUCCGCGUGGGAGACCAAGUCUUCCUCAAAGUGUUGAGACGACCUCGCUGGGACAGUGAACGCUGGGACGGCCCCCACCAAGUGAUUGCAGUGACUCCUACGGCUGUAAAGGUCGAGGGGCGUGACGGCUGGAUCCACCAGUCGUAGUGCAAGCUCCUCCGAUUCCCUGCUGAUGGGCCUAGCGACGCCAGUCCCUCGGGGUAGGAUCUCCACCACGUACACCUCAGUGUACCGACGAAAGACCACAGUUGGAGAGAGGGUUUUCCGUGGCAAACACACCCCUCUCGGGAAGAUGGAGCGGACCACCGGACAAAGGCUGACUGCAGUCCUGUCGGCCAAAUAUACUGUUUGAUGUUUCUGGGUUUACCUUGUAUAUACAUAUAUUGGACCAAAAACAGAUUUAAUCCUUGCCCUCACCUUUGUGCUUGGCUCUUGCUUGGGAAGGGUUUCUACCUUUUUCCCACUGGGUUUUUGAGUAGUUUUCUUCCCACUCAAGCAAUAGCUUUUGUUUUAUUUUAAUCAUGAUAAACAGGGGGGAAAUGUGAAAGAAUUUAUAGUUAUCAUGUUUAAAGCAUAUUCACAUGUUGUAGAAAUUCGCCCACGCAGAUUUGUGGACGAGACAAAGAUGCUGUCUGGUUCACACUUUCUCCGCCUGUCUGGUUCACACUUCCUCAAGCAAAUGUGUAACUAUGCUGACUGUUAAAAAACUGUUAAAAUAACAGGAAACGAUCUAAGCAUUUUUCCGGUGCACCUGCACAUCUCGGUAAAGUUCCACUGUGCUGCAUGCUGCUUUGCUUGAAAUAAAUAGCGGACGAGGGCAGCAGUUCGUUGUCAGUCUUGGUGAGCACACUCAGCCAGUGAGUUGCUCUGCUGUCCCUCGCGAGCAGAAAAGACAA